UACGUAGGGGGCAAGCGUUGUCCGGAAUCAUUGGGCGUAAAGCGCGUGUAGGCGGUCCGGUAAGUCCGCUGUGAAAGUCGGGGGCUCAACCCUCGGAUGCCGGUGGAUACUGUCGGGCUUGAGUACGGAAGAGGCGAGUGGAAUUCCUGGUGUAGCGGUGAAAUGCGCAGAUAUCAGGAGGAACACCGGUGGCGAAGGCGGGUCUCUGUACCGUAACUGACGCUGAGACACGAAAGCGUGGGUAGCAAACAGG
RNAcentral lists this ribosomal RNA (253 nucleotides) under uncultured bacterium. RNAcentral's name for it is "partial 16S ribosomal RNA". It matches the Rfam family "Bacterial small subunit ribosomal RNA", at positions 524 to 776 of the family's 1533-position model. The record is from RNAcentral.